ACCCGUCUUGAAGCACGGACCAAGGAGUCUAACAUUUAUGCGAGUGUUUGGGUGUCAAGCCCGAGCGCGUAAUGAAAGUGAACGGAGGUAGGAACCCGCAAGGGUGCACUAUCGACCGAUCCUGAUGUCUUCGGAAGGAUUUGAGUAAGAGCAUGGCUGUUGGGACCCGAAAGAUGGUGAACUAUGCUUGAAUAGGGUGAAGCCAGAGGAAACUCUGGUGGAGGCUCGCAGCGAUUCUGACGUGCAAAUCGAUCGUCAAACUUGGGUAUAGGGGCGAAAGACUAAUCGAACCAUCUAGUAGCUGGUUCCCUCCGAAGUUUCCCUCAGGAUAGCUGGCGCUCGAACGCAGUUUUAUCUGGUAAAGCGAAUGAUUAAAGGCCUUGGGGCCGAAACUACCUCGACCUAUUCYCAAACUUUAAAUUGGUAAAAAGUCCGACUCCCUCGAUUGGAGCCGGGCGACGAAUGCGAAUGCCCAGUGGGCCACUUUUGGUAAGCAGAACUGGCGC
RNAcentral lists this ribosomal RNA (506 nucleotides) under Hymenaster pellucidus. RNAcentral's name for it is "eukaryotic LSU rRNA". It matches the Rfam family "Eukaryotic large subunit ribosomal RNA", at positions 647 to 1156 of the family's 3401-position model. Lineage: Eukaryota; Metazoa; Echinodermata; Asteroidea; Velatida; Pterasteridae. The record is from RNAcentral.